RNAcentral lists this ribosomal RNA (253 nucleotides) under uncultured bacterium. RNAcentral describes it as "partial 16S ribosomal RNA". It matches the Rfam family "Bacterial small subunit ribosomal RNA", at positions 524 to 776 of the family's 1533-position model. The record is from RNAcentral.
UACGUAGGGGGCAAGCGUUGUCCGGAAUCAUUGGGCGUAAAGCGCGUGUAGGCGGCCAGAAAAGUCCGCUGUGAAAACUCGAGGCUCAACUUCGAGCUGUCGGUGGAAACUUUCUGGCUAGAGUCCGGAAGAGGAGAAUGGAAUUCCUGGUGUAGCGGUGAAAUGCGCAGAUAUCAGGAGGAACACCGGUGGCGAAGGCGGGUCUCUGGGCAGUAACUGACGCUGAGGAGCGAAAGCGUGGGGAGCGAACAGG